GACGAACGCUGGCGGCGUGCUUAACACAUGCAAGUCGAACGGAAAGGCCCUGCUUUUGUGGGGUGCUCGAGUGGCGAACGGGUGAGUAACACGUGAGUAACCUGCCCUUGACUUUGGGAUAACUUCAGGAAACUGGGGCUAAUACCGGAUAGGAGCUCCUGCUGCAUGGUGGGGGUUGGAAAGUUUCGGCGGUUGGGGAUGGACUCGCGGCUUAUCAGCUUGUUGGUGGGGUAGUGGCUUACCAAGGCUUUGACGGGUAGCCGGCCUGAGAGGGGGACCGGCGACAUUGGGACUGAGAGACGGCCCAGACGCCUACGGGAGGCAGCAGUGGGGAAUAUGGCACAAUGGGCGGAAGCCUGAUGCAGCAACGCCGCGUGCGGGAUGCCGGCCUUCGGGUUGUAAACCGCUUUCGCCUGUGACGAAGCGGGAGUGACGGUAAUGGGUAAAGAAGCACCGGCUAACUACGUG
Molecule: ribosomal RNA, 468 nt
Filed under: uncultured bacterium
Lineage: Bacteria
Description: partial 16S ribosomal RNA
Rfam family: Bacterial small subunit ribosomal RNA
Source: RNAcentral